GAUUAAUUUCAUAGAUGCUUCGAACUGAAAGAGAAUUUGAAUGUUAUUUUGGCCGAUCAUCAUAAUUAUUUUUUGUAUGCAACCAAAUUCUACAGAAGUAGUGGUUUUUCUUACUCAGUUUAUUCUGUAGCUUAAGUUGUCUCAAAUAUUAUUAAUAGAGAAACCAACUGGAUCAAGUGAGGAAGGAGUUGGCGAAGGUACUGAUGUGCAAGACACUGAAUUCACUUCUUGAGUAAAGUUGAGAAAAUGGGGGAUUUGGAUCCUGUUCAAGAUUUUGAAGCCAUGAUGUCUCAAAGAGAUAGUACAGAAUAGGUUAAUAAAGCAAUUCAAGAUAUGAAAAAUCACCCAGGAAAUUGCCUAGACACUAAAAGCCUACUUGUAAAUGAUGAUUCAAUUUAUCACAUAUUGUUUGGUUCAAUAUAUGACUAGAUAAUCAGUAUUUUAUCUUUAUUGGCGUGUAACUUUCAAUCUUGAAUAUUUUAUUCACACUUGUUGGCCCAUCCCCCUUCCUCAAUGUUAUUUUACAUCUCUUGUUGACUGCACAACGUCAUGGUAGGAAGAACAGUGGAAGUGUUGUUUUAGGAGUUAUUAAUGAUGAAGUUCUCGUGUUAUUAUCUAACAAUUUCUGCAGCUCUGCCAGAUUCAAAUUACAGUUGUAUUCAGGGAAAUAUGUUGACUGUAUUUUUUAUCCUUGUGAAAUUCAAGCAACCUUUCCCCAAAUUGACAUGAGAAAUGUAAACCGGUUAGCUAUGAGAAACAAAUCGCUGAAAUUCAGUGGCUUAUUUUAUUUUAUUUAUUUAUUUUCCCCCCAAUUUGCAUGAGAAAUUUGUGUUCCGAACUUGUAAUGUUGACUCUUUUUGCAGACUACUACGAAACAUCUGUCAAAUAUUUUGAGUUUUUCCUUGAACAGGAACCCAAACAAUCCAAUGAUUUCCUGCACCAUCUUGUCAAAUUCUGCCAAGAGAAAGACCUCAAAAGAUUAGGUGAAUAUCUUGCAUCACUAGAAAUUACACUGAUAAGCAAGAAAGAAGCACCUGACAGGUCGGUUAUUACAAAGUUUGUCCUACAAUUCUUCAUGGCCUUCAUUUUUUACUUUUAUUCUCACCUCGUAAUUUUAGCAUAAUGCUUAUUGUUGGUGCAUAUAUCCUUGCUAUCCAAACAGUGAGUCUCCCAGGAUGAUGCCUGAAGCUUUAUUGUUAAAAGGGAGCCAAAAGCCGAGCAAGGAUUGUGAGAAUUGACCUGGUGGCCUCUAGUUUGGCAUGGGCACGAGAAAUUCACUCAGAUAUUUUGAUGAUAUAUUUUCUACUCGUGUCUUUGAUAUGUAUAACUUCAACAGGAAUCACGCCAAACAAUGGAUUUGAAACUUGUCCAUUCUGGAAAGUUGCACAGAUUUUUCAAGCUUAAUCUUUCAAUUGGCAAUGAAAGAAAACUUGAUGUUAAUGUAAAAUGAUGUUUCAAUGAACUAUUGGGUAGACGGUAAGUUGUACAACCAAUUUUGGACGUUGGAUCUCAACUUCUUUCAAAGAGUCUCUAUUUUAAUUCUUGGAGGGUGUAGACUUGCAGUACUACGUAAAUUGUGUAAUGCAGUAUGGAAGAAAUGCUUCAUUUUUUACUUCUUCUCAUUUUGAGUGUUGGAAUGUUUAGUAUUAAUAUCAUUCUGGGA
This 1663-nucleotide long non-coding RNA is filed under the name Olea europaea subsp. europaea. The record is from RNAcentral. Lineage: Eukaryota; Viridiplantae; Streptophyta; Magnoliopsida; Lamiales; Oleaceae.